AGGGAAUCGGAUCCAGGUUGAGGAGGGCCCGGGAAGCAAUCGAAUCCGUGCUGAGGGAUGUCGGGCCGAGAAGGGCUGAGGAGGGUACUGCAGUUCGGGCGGGAAGGCUGAGAGAGAGCAAGAAGGCACAAGCGAGCAAGGGACAGAGAAAGAGAAGAGGAGCUCUCCAGAAGCAGGGUUCGAGCUCAUCCGAAGCAGGGUUCGUGCUCACCUGAAGCGGGGCUUGAGCUCACCCAAAGCAGGGCUCAAGCUCACCCUAUGCGGGACUUGAACUCACGAACCAUGAGAUCAUGACCUGAGCCAAAGUCAGAUACCUAACCGACUGAGCCACCCAGAUGCCUAUCUUGUAACAAUUCUUAAAUUAAAAUGUAUUUUGAUUGAUUUAGUAAAGGAACACCUUCUACCUUUUA
Long non-coding RNA from Herpailurus yagouaroundi (jaguarundi), 410 nucleotides. RefSeq lists it as uncharacterized. The record is from RefSeq and is a predicted model, not a curated record. NCBI's taxonomy places the organism in Eukaryota, Metazoa, Chordata, Mammalia, Carnivora, Felidae. The transcript is spliced from 2 exons.